Ornithorhynchus anatinus (platypus) is the source of this 914-nucleotide long non-coding RNA. RefSeq lists it as uncharacterized. The transcript has 4 exons. NCBI's taxonomy places the organism in Eukaryota, Metazoa, Chordata, Mammalia, Monotremata, Ornithorhynchidae. The record is from RefSeq and is a predicted model, not a curated record.
AUUCUCCAGUUUCCUUCUCCUGUCUCAAAGCAUGCAAGUUGGAAUGGAUAUCUUUGAUUGAGUGGGAACUUGAAGUCUGAAGAGUGAAACCAGGAAACUGUACAGUCAAAAUACAGAAGACAAAGGUUAACAGAAAGAGAAAGGAGAGAACCCUCCCUGGACUUUACUUCUGAAACCUCGUGGAACUGAAAAUGCUGCACAUAAUGUCGGGCAUGUAAAGAACACUCAUACUGGGGGCCUAAGUGAACCUCUAUGGGGAGAAAUGUGCAGAGGAUGCUAACUUGAGUCAACAUUUGUCUGCAAUUUGCCUUCGCCCAGAGAAAACCCAGGAUUGCUGUACCGAGAUUAGCUGCCUAGACUCAGAAGAAUGAUUGUCUACUGCUGUUCAAAUCUGUGACUUUGCAGCUGUAAUCAAAACCAGCAGGAGAGUUUCUGACUUAUAUCACUGGCAGCGAACUCACGGAAUACAUAAUGCAUACCCAGAAGAGUUGAGAGAAUUUCAAUAGUUUCUUAGGGGUUUGGAUUGUUCUCCACAGAGGCUUAAUAUUGAAGGCAAAUUGACUUCUCAACUGCUGCACUGGUUUUGCAGUUUUGCCGUAGAGCUUUAGAAGAGAGGAACGGUUGUUUGUCUCAUUGGGUUCUGGAAAACACAACUUUUUCCAGCCAUAGAUCUCUCUGGUGACGGCUUAGUCAAGCGCAUUUUGACAAGAGGUAAAGCAGCCUCGAAUCGUGGAUUCCAAAGAGCUGCAAAUGUGUUGUUUUGACUGCUGCAUAUGGAUAUAUUUAAAGGCAGAAAUCCAUGCUGUCAGGCCAGGAACACAUCAUCUGAGCAAAUUAUAAUUUCACUUGCUAAAGUAUUAAGGACACUAUUGAAGAGGAGACUUUAAGUCUAAAAGAAAAAUCUCUCAAGAGAA